CUCCGCAGCAUCACAGCGUCUGGGAAUUUAACUUCGGUUUCUACAUCUUCUUUUUAAGUGGUUUCUGCUGGUGAGCGUCUCGGUGAUCUCAUGUCCCGCCCCCUAUUAAAGCAUCAUUACUGCAGCCUGCAUGCACACAUAACUGUAUUUCUUUGCCACAGGUCAUCCUGAUGUUGUCGUCUGUGUCUGGAUGAACGAUUGAGCCGGGAGUUGCUCUUUUUGCCCUGCAGCAUCUCACGCAGCCUCGUCAGACUUGUUUUGAUGAAUGCGUCAGGGUUGCAGAUAUAGAUCUGUCUGGGUGAUCGUCAGCCGAAAUAGACACAUGAGAGAGAAUCAGGAGACAGUAAAUAUGUGUCUUCAUGUGCAGUAUUUAUAGGAGUGUGUACUGAAGUAUGUGUAGUUAAUGUAUUUCUUUUUUUCAUCAAUCACAUUGAUCCUCCCACUAAUUCUCAUCCCAUAGAAAUGUCAAUCAGCGAGAGGGGAGGGGGAGUUCUUCACUACAGCGUUUCCUCUAUCUGGAGGAAGGUAAUGAAAGGGUAGCUUGAUGGCCACUGUUUCCAUGGCAACUACUUUAGAGCAACCUCUGCCCACAACAUCUCAAAAGAUCAGAUGGUGUUUUUAAAAUAACACAAGACGUGGCGGUGUUUAAAGCUGGAGGGGGAAGUCUUCCACCGAAGCAGCCAAAUGUGUGGGGAGUCGUUGCGUCCAGAACCGGGUUCUGUGUGUGGGGAGGCUUUAAUAGGAGCACAUGACUGCAAUGAGUCAUCACAGCGUAAGUCCAGGUAAACUUAGCACAAAUAAGCAGCUUGUGGUUCAGCUCUGCUGGACAGGACGACUCAGAAGAGCCACAAACAGACUCAGAGGGUGGAACGAGGGUCCGACGCCAUCUGAACCAGAACCUGCAGCUCAGCCAGCUACUGAGCACAGGGGCCUGGAGAGCUGCAGCUGCAGCCAGCGUGUCCGGGCCGCUCAUGGAAUCCUGCAGCUUCCCCUCGGUUCCGCUGUCUGAGGAGUCGUCCUCCAUGCUCUUAACAGAGGCAGUGAAACUGGGGCCGACUUCCUGUCGCUGAGCGGAGGGGCUCCACUGCACGCGGCGGCGCCGCGGGCUCCUCGCGGUCCCGUUUGCCAGCGUGCGUUUCCAUGGAGAUGCAGCCUGUUCACGCGCCCCUGCAGCUCGUGUCAUUGACUUCAAUUAGUGCAGGAGGCCGUCUUGUCUAAGUACAUACUUACGCAGACAGCAGGCCUUAAAGGACCGGGGAGAAUUGGCAGAGGAGAUCUGAGAGCGUGGGAUGCGUCGGGGAGAGGGGCUUCAUUCUGCCACAGAACAAAUGCAUGUGAACGUAAACAGCCUCCUCAUAGAGUAGUUCUUGUCGCCCCCUUGUGCCUUUGCAACUUUUACCUAUUGAAGUUUCAGAUGAGCUUCAUCGCGUUUCAGGCUUCUGUUUCAGGUCGACUCCAGUUUCCUACUGGCAAAGUGGCAAAGUGGGGAGAUGUGCCCUGAAGUGAUUCAACCUUGAUUAUCCCGACUCAUUACAGGAACACUCCCCGGCUGCACCUGUAAUUACCGUGAACAGGUGCAUCACUCAGCCACAUCCACAGAGUUGGUGGUUUAAUUCAGAGAUGCUGCCGGGACAUUAACCCGGCUAAUCACAUGUUCAGCCGCGGCGUGGAGCGCUGUGGACCUCUGGGUGCGGAGCAGCACACCUUCACCUUUUGGUCUGAAGGGAGCGUUCACACAGAGGACUGAAAACGGCGUGAUCACCGGGAGGAUGUGCUUCAUUAUAAGGAUUAACGAGAGUGAAUGGCGCAUUCUGUGGAAAUUCUGUGGAAAAAUUCUAUUCAGUUCAUUUAUAUACAACGAAGUGAGGUUCCUACCGAGCCGCUGAGCAGCACCAGAAGGCACCUCCAACAGAACCAGGCUGAAGGUGUAUAGCUGCAAUACUUCCUUAACAUUUAGCUUGUAGCAAUACGUUUAUUUAAACAUACAGGACUGUAAAUUCUCCGUGCACAGCAUCAUGUGACGCUUCAUGAGAGCCAGUAAGAAUCUGUCUGCUCUCGCUUUGUUCCUCACACAGUUUGCGAACACUGUGGCAUCUUUUCAUUUCUUGUGCAUCUGCGUCAGAGUUCUGUGUUUUUUCAUGUUUCAUCGGAGAACAGAAUAGGGCGAGAGCUCGCCUGUGAUCUUUUAUUCAUCUAUUCGUCCUCCUCUCCUCACUCCUCGCCUCCGCACCAGGGAGCUCAGCAUCUGACAGGCCUCACCGAAAACCACCAGCUGGAGUGACAACGAGAGGAGGAGGAGACGCCUCCACCCAUGUUGUCCCUCAUUGUCUGGAAACAUCUGGACGACACAUCAUCUGAAAACAGCUGAACGGCGUCUGAACUUCACACCGAGCAGCAAAGUCGCAGCCAAAGGCUGCAAUUACAUCAGCACGCUCCGAGAAGCUGCCGUGUGCCGAGCAUUAAAGGCCGCCGAGCUUCGGAACAACAAAAUGGAGGCCGUCUCAGACUGACACCUCCGGAGACAACGGCGCUGGUGUUAAAACGAAGGGACCCAGCGCGGCUCCAACCAGUUGGGUGCCAGGGACGCGUCUGCUUGGAAGCAUGAAUGAAUGAGAAUGAACAAGAAAACUCAGGAAGCUCCACCCAAUGAGACCGUUUAAACGCAGGGACGACGGGGGCUCAUAACAGAGGAGCCGUGUGCUCGUCUCACCACCUGCCACUGAGAAACGUUAGCUUCUGCCGCCUGCUCAGAGACUGGUCAGCGUUGAAAAGUCCUGCAAAACUUCGCUGACGCCAAAUACA
Betta splendens (Siamese fighting fish) is the source of this 2802-nucleotide long non-coding RNA. RefSeq lists it as uncharacterized. The transcript has 4 exons. NCBI's taxonomy places the organism in Eukaryota, Metazoa, Chordata, Actinopteri, Anabantiformes, Osphronemidae. The record is from RefSeq and is a predicted model, not a curated record.